GCAAGCAGGGCUCUCUCCUGGAAGCCAUCCAAACUAGGAGAGAAUCUAAACAGCAGCAAUGAUAGGGUGCUAUUACCACGAGAUUGUGGGUACUACUGUGUAAGACUGCAGAAACGAGAAUGAAAUUCAAACCACUUUGAAAAUUGUUUGGCUGGUACAAUUUUGCACAAAAGGCAGUUUUAUAAAAUAUUAUAAUUCUAUCGAAUAUGAUGACUAAAUUUGACAACAGGAGUUGAAAUUCUAUUUCUAGAAUGCCUGCUCUUUGCUUAUUUCUCAUUAGCGAUUCAAUUAUAACAGUAGUAAAAUAUAACAGUGAAUUCUAUUUUGGAAGCAUGCAAUUUCAUGGAAGUAUACUCCACCCUGUCAUAGCUUUGGGUGGAGGGGAAAAGGAAAAAAAAAAACAACAAUUUUCAUGCCAGGAAAGUAAGCAUUUGCCAACUUUCCAAAGAGAUCCUCUUUGAAAAUCCAAGCUCACAAGGAAAACUUUUUAAUAUUUUUCAUAUUCAAAGACCUGGAAAUAGUCCAUCUGACUCUUGAGGCCCAAUGAAUGGUUUUAGGUUAGGAUUCUGCUCUGCCUCUAAGAAUUGGUGAACAUAAUUUUGCUUCUCGAAUGAAGAGUGAGCAGGUCCGUGUGGUGUUCUGAAAGCAUGGGCUGUAUUACCACAGAACUACAAAUAAGGCACCAGGAACUCAGAGGCCGGCAGCCUCUGAGAUAUUUCACUUUUCUGCCCCAGAGAUAGAAGGAAGGGAAAGAAGACUGAGUUAUACAUUUUAACUACAUGUUAAUUUUCGAAGAAGGAUGGAGGGAUAGAAGUAAAAUCUACAGACCAGAGUUUCUGAUUGUAGGCUCCCAUCUGGAAGGAGUGGCUAUGUCCAACAGCAGGCACGGUCAGUAGGGAUGUGACAAUUUGGAGAGAGGGGCCAUCCUUAAAUUCCUCACUUUUUGAAGCCUUUCCAUAAAACUACUGGAGUGGAGGACCAGACCAGGACCCGGAAAG
This 998-nucleotide long non-coding RNA is filed under the name Homo sapiens (human). RNAcentral's name for it is "HSALNT0298203". Lineage: Eukaryota; Metazoa; Chordata; Mammalia; Primates; Hominidae. The record is from RNAcentral.